Molecule: ribosomal RNA, 588 nt
Filed under: uncultured bacterium
Lineage: Bacteria
Description: bacterial SSU rRNA
Rfam family: Bacterial small subunit ribosomal RNA
Source: RNAcentral
CCUACGGGAGGCAGCAGUGGGGAAUUUUGGACAAUGGGCGCAAGCCUGAUCCAGCAAUGCCGCGUGCAGGAUGAAGGCCUUCGGGUUGUAAACUGCUUUUGUACGGAACGAAACGGUCUGCUCUAAUACAGUGGGCUAAUGACGGUACCGUAAGAAUAAGCACCGGCUAACUACGUGCCAGCAGCCGCGGUAAUACGUAGGGUGCGAGCGUUAAUCGGAAUUACUGGGCGUAAAGCGUGCGCAGGCGGUUAUAUAAGACAGAUGUGAAAUCCCCGGGCUCAACCUGGGACCUGCAUUUGUGACUGUAUAGCUAGAGUGCGGCAGAGGGGGGAUGGAAUUCCGCGUGUAGCAGUGAAAUGCGUAGAUAUGCGGAGGAACACCGAUGGCGAAGGCAAUCCCCUGGGCCUGCACUGACGCUCAUGCACGAAAGCGUGGGGAGCAAACAGGAUUAGAUACCCUGGUAGUCCACGCCCUAAACCGAUGUCAACUGGUUGUUGGGUCUUCACUGACUCAGUAACGAAGCUAACGCGUGAAGUUGACCGCCUGGGGAGUACGGCCGCAAGGUUGAAACGUCAAAUGAAUUGACGG